This 285-nucleotide long non-coding RNA is filed under the name Setaria italica (foxtail millet). RNAcentral's name for it is "long non-coding RNA (SITA_LNC006385)". The record is from RNAcentral. Lineage: Eukaryota; Viridiplantae; Streptophyta; Magnoliopsida; Poales; Poaceae.
CGAGCUCUCUAUUUAACUAUUUAAGUCCAGUAUAGCAUUCAAACAAGUUAUUGGGUAAUGGCAAAUACUUGCCUUGCUGUUUGCUAAACCCAUGGGUGCUAGAUUAACAUUAUGCAUUUAUAUAAGAGUGUGGAAUCUGAGUAAUCAUUUUGGGUUACCUUAGUUAAGGCUUGUAUUCUCUAAAUCUAUACUCUGAACUCCUGUGGUAGCACCUUGCCUUUAUUCUUGUUUCAAAGAUGGGUUGUACUCUGUUGUUUACUGUAUUUUUGCUAUGCACAUUCUUCU